AUGUAUUUGUGUAAAAACGGUGUUGGAGGGAGAUUAGAACUACUUCGAAAUAAAGAUGAGCACGUCUUCAUUUUGAGGAAUAUUACAUUACGGGACUCUGAGAACUACAGCUGCGUUUAUUCAUUCAAACAAUAUCCUACAAAGAACGUCAGAGGAUCAGGAGAAAACUCCAUCCAGGUCCAAGUCAUUGGUGAGGCUUUGGAGAUUUUCCCGGGACACAUUUUCGGAGCCUCCACAGCAAAAUCUGGUGAAAAUCUUAUGCUAAAAUGCAGCAUCUCUCACACUCACAGCACAAAUCGAGUAAUUCACAUGUAUUUGUGUAAAAAUGGUGUUGGAGAGAGAUUAGAACUACUCGAAAAUAAAGAUGAGCACGCCUUCAUUUUGAGGAAUAUUUCAUCACGGGACUCUGGUACAUACAGCUGCGUUUAUUCAUUUACAAAAUAUUAUAUGAAGAAUGUCACAGGAUCAGGAGAAAACUCCAUCCAUGUCCAAGUCACUGAUAAACCAAUUCAGCAGAGAGAUUCUCUGAAAGAAGUCAUGGUCUCUCUUGCCACUCUUCUCCUGGUCGGAGUCAUCUUUAUUCAAAUGUAUCGCUACAGAUUGAUAAUAUAUCAGCAUUACCAAUUAUGUCAACACCACGGACGGAGUGAACCUGCAAAUUCGGGUAACAAUGAAGGUUUAGGACAAGUACACUGGACAGUCAACAGUGACACAGAGGAAUAUGCCACAAUACCUGAAGUACGAGGUAACGUCAAAUACGUAACGUCGACUGAUAAACUUUUAACCUGUACAUUCCGUGAGAAUUUGAUCAUGAUCGUUGUGAUUUAUUUUGUGAAAUGCAUAGAUAUGUCCUGAAAUUCGUUUUUUUAAUUUACUCUAGAAUAUAGACUCUGCUUGAUUUUCCAAAUGAUUAGUUCUAAUGAUUAGCAUCAUUAGUUUGAAUUAAAAUGUUACAGUGGUAGCUUAUGUGGUUAAGGCUCUGGGUUGUUGAUUGGAAGAUCAGGGUAUCUUAUAUUUUCUCGUAUAUUAUUAAUAUAUUAACAUUAUUUUAAUAUAUUGUAUAUAUUUAUAAUAUAUUUUAUAUUUUAUAUAUUUUAUUAUAUGUUAUAAUUAUAUAACAAUAAUAUGAUAGGGCUGUAACAGGAAAAGAAAACAUUAUUUGGAAUGAACAUAUAUAAAGUAGGAAUCUGAUUGGUCAGAAUGUGCAGUACGUUUGUCCAACACUGUGGAUUGACAAGUUUAUUAAUGUGCUUGUUGAGUAAUAAUAAAGGGAUUUACAAAUCAUGUUUAAUAAAGUCAAAGGUUUUGUUGAUGUGGUGACACUUUGACAUUUAUGUUUAUGGCAACAAGAAUGUUUAUUAUGUUCAGCUAUAAAAGCCUUGAAACAGACAAAAGAGAGAGAGAGAGAAAGGAAAUUACUGUUAAGGCAGAUAUAAUGUUGAACAGGAACUAACUUGCCUCUUGGACUUUUUCCACAACAUUAAACCUAAUUCACUAUGUGUCAUUUAUUAAUAAAUGAAUCAUUGAAAUCAUUGGCAAAUCACUGAUAUAAUCGAGAAAUAAAUUGAUAAAAAAUCAUGUUAUUAUAUAAAAACAACACACAGAUGGUGUAAUGCCCAUUGUACCAUAUUUCACCCUCCCGAUGUACAGCAUUUUCACAUAACAGCAUGUUCCAUCGUGUGUUAUUCCUUACUGAUAUGACAAACAGAUAUGAAUAAGGUACAUUAUUGGGGUUUUUUUUUUUUUUCUGGUUGGCAAACCCUGACACCCAAGAGGCGUGCACAGUGCAAGAGGGGUGCAUUAAAAUAGAAAAGCAGGAGCUUUCAUGUGGAUCUGAGACCUAACACUGUGGCCCCUAAAACAGA
Hemibagrus wyckioides is the source of this 1865-nucleotide RNA transcript. RefSeq lists it as uncharacterized. The transcript is spliced from 8 exons. Lineage: Eukaryota; Metazoa; Chordata; Actinopteri; Siluriformes; Bagridae. The record is from RefSeq and is a predicted model, not a curated record.